UACGUAGGGGGCAAGCGUUAUCCGGAUUUAUUGGGCGUAAAGCGCGCGCAGGCGGUUCAUUAAGUUAGGUGUUCAAGGCAACGGCUCAACCGUUGUACGCACCUAAAACUGGUGGGCUUGAGUGCAGAAGAGGAGAGUGGAAUUCCUGGUGUAGCGGUGGAAUGCGUAGAUAUCAGGAGGAACACCAGUGGCGAAGGCGACUCUCUGGUCUGUAACUGACGCUGAGGCGCGAAAGCGUGGGGAGCAAACAGG
RNAcentral lists this ribosomal RNA (252 nucleotides) under uncultured bacterium. Its description in RNAcentral is "partial 16S ribosomal RNA". It matches the Rfam family "Bacterial small subunit ribosomal RNA", at positions 524 to 776 of the family's 1533-position model. The record is from RNAcentral.